GGGAGGAAAAGAAACUAACAAGGAUUUUCUUAGUAGCGGCGAGCGAAAAGAAAAUAGUUCAGCACUAAGUCACUUUGUCUUAAUGGCAAAUGUGAGAUGCAGUGUAUGGAAUGUCAAAUUUCUAGUAUGAGAAAUUAACGAUUUAAGUCCUUCUUAAAUGAGGCCAUUUACCCAAAGAGGGUGCCAGGCCCGUAUAACGUUAAUGAUUACUAGAUGGCAUUUCCAAAGAGUCGUGUUGCUUGAUAGUGCAGCACUAAGUGGGUGGUAAACUCCAUCUAAAACUAAAUAUAACCAUGAGACCGAUAGUAAACAAGUACCGUGAGGGAAAGUUGAAAAGAACUCUGAAUAGAGAGUUAAAUAGUACGUGAAACUGCUUAGAGGUUAAGCCCGAUGAACCUGAAUAUCCAUUAUAGAAAAUUCAUCAUUAUGAUUUUAAUAUUUAUAAUAUUAUAAUAAUGGUGUGCAUUUUUUCUAUAAAAGGACAUUGUAAUCUAUUAACAUCAAAUAUUUAUCAAAAGAUCAAUUGCAAAUGUUUAUUCAAAUUAUUUUGCUUGCAAUUUAACAUAGAAUAAAUGCUUUUGAUUUGAUAAAGUGUUGAUAGAUUUAUUAUAUAUAGUGCUUAAAUAUUUAUAUUUUAUAAUAGCAUAUUAAUCAUUGAUUUUUAUGUUUAUUAUAUGCACUUAUAUGAUUAACAAUGCGAAAGAUUCAGGAUACCUUCGGGACCCGUCUUGAAACACGGACCAAGGAGUCUAACAUAUUUGCAAGUUAUUGGGAAUAAAAACCUAAUAGCGAAAUUAACAUAACUUAUAUAAUGGGAUUAAUUUUUAGCCUAUUUAUAGUCUAUUAAUUCAAUCCCGGGGCGUUCUAUAUAGUUAUGUAUAAUAAUAUUUAUAUUAUUUAUACCUCUAACUAGAGCGUACCUUGAGCAUAUAUGCUGUGACCCGAAAGAUGGUGAACUAUACUUGAUCAGGUUGAAGUCAGGGGAAACCCUGAUGGAAGACCGAAACAG
This 1009-nucleotide ribosomal RNA is filed under the name Cochliomyia hominivorax (primary screw-worm). RNAcentral's name for it is "eukaryotic LSU rRNA". It matches the Rfam family "Eukaryotic large subunit ribosomal RNA", at positions 51 to 883 of the family's 3401-position model. Lineage: Eukaryota; Metazoa; Arthropoda; Insecta; Diptera; Calliphoridae. The record is from RNAcentral.